UUAGAUUUCUUUUGUGCUGUUAUUGUUUUCAUACAAGAUCAUUUGCUCACAGGUUUUUGGGGUUUAAAAUGAAGGAAAACUCCUUUGAGGUACAUGCCCAAUGUUUCUGAAAGGAUUAGGAAAAUAUGCAUGGACUAAGGACAGAGUGUGAGAUUGAUUGCUUUAAAGAAGUCAAUUUAUGAGACGGAGCAUUCAAGGGAGUUCGAGUGAUUUGGUUACCAGGGUAUAUGGACUAUGGAGUGGAUGCCAUCAUAGAGCAGUGAAGAUGAAAAGAAGUAGGAACAAACUUCUACCAGAGAUAGAAUCAGUUGCUUUCUUGAUCCAGGU
Molecule: long non-coding RNA, 327 nt
Organism: Lotus japonicus
Lineage: Eukaryota; Viridiplantae; Streptophyta; Magnoliopsida; Fabales; Fabaceae
Exons: 3
Source: RefSeq, a predicted model, not a curated record